GGUGCCUAAUACAUGCAAGUCGAGCGCAGGAAACUGACGGAACUCUUCGGAGGGAAGGCAGCGGAAUGAGCGGCGGACGGGUGAGUAACACGUAAGGAACCUGCCUCAAGGAUUGGGAUAACUCCGAGAAAUCGGAGCUAAUACCGGAUAGUUCAACGGACCGCAUGGUCCGCUGAUGAAAGGCGCUUCGGCGUCACCUUGAGAUGGCCUUGCGGUGCAUUAGCUAGUUGGUGGGGUAACGGCCCACCAAGGCGACGAUGCAUAGCCGACCUGAGAGGGUGAUCGGCCACACUGGGACUGAGACACGGCCCAGACUCCUACGGGAGGCAGCAGUAGGGAAUCUUCCACAAUGGACGAAAGUCUGAUGGAGCAACGCCGCGUGAGUGAUGAAGGUUUUCGGAUCGUAAAACUCUGUUGUAAGGGAAGAACACGUACGAGAGGAAAUGCUCGUACCUUGACGGUACCUUACGAGAAAGCCACGGCUAACUACGUGCCAGCAGCCGCGGUAAUACNUAGGUGGCAAGCGUUGUCCGGAAUUAUUGGGCGUAAAGCGCGCGCAGGCGGCCUUUUAAGUCUGAUGUGAAAGCCCCCGGCUCAACCGGGGAGGGCCAUUGGAAACUGGAAGGCUUGAGUACAGAAGAGAAGAGUGGAAUUCCACNUGUAGCGGUNAAAUGCGUANAGCUGUGGAGGAAACCAGUGGCGAAGGCGACUCUU
RNAcentral lists this ribosomal RNA (714 nucleotides) under Exiguobacterium sp. HPCKc-28. RNAcentral's name for it is "bacterial SSU rRNA". It matches the Rfam family "Bacterial small subunit ribosomal RNA", at positions 43 to 729 of the family's 1533-position model. The record is from RNAcentral. Lineage: Bacteria; Bacillati; Bacillota; Bacilli; Caryophanales.